GUAGUUGUGGCCAAGUGGCUAAGGUAAUAGACUACAAAUCCAUUGGAGUCUCCCUGUGUAGGUUCAAAUCCUGCCAACGAUG
Molecule: transfer RNA, 82 nt
Filed under: Chelonia mydas (Green sea turtle)
Lineage: Eukaryota; Metazoa; Chordata; Testudines; Cheloniidae
Rfam family: tRNA
About the family: Transfer RNA (tRNA) molecules are approximately 80 nucleotides in length. Their secondary structure includes four short double-helical elements and three loops (D, anti-codon, and T loops).
Source: Rfam by way of RNAcentral